This 417-nucleotide ribosomal RNA is filed under the name uncultured bacterium. RNAcentral describes it as "partial 16S ribosomal RNA". It matches the Rfam family "Bacterial small subunit ribosomal RNA", at positions 360 to 774 of the family's 1533-position model. The record is from RNAcentral.
AAUAUUGGUCAAUGGAGGCAACUCUGCACCAGCCACGUCGCGUGAAGGAUGACGGCCCUACGGGUUGUAAGUUUCUUUUUUUCAGGAAUAAAGUGAGUCACGUGUGACUUUUUGCAUGUACUGUAUGCAUAAGUAUCGGCCAACUCCGUGCCAGCCGCCGCGGUAAUUCGGAGGAUCCAAGCGUUAUCCGGAUUUAUUGGGUUUAAAGGGUGCGCAGGCGGAGGAUUAAGUCGGCGGUGAAAUUUUGCAGCUCAACUGUAAAAGUGCCAUCGAUACUGGUUUUCUUGAGUGUGGAUGAAGUAGGCGGAAUUUGUGGUGUAGCGGUGAAAUGCAUAGAUAUCACGAGGAACUCCGAUUGCGCAGGCAGCUUACUAGGCCAUAACUGACGCUCAGGCACGAAGGCGUGGGGAUCAAACA